This 77-nucleotide transfer RNA is filed under the name Sinopodophyllum hexandrum. Its description in RNAcentral is "tRNA-Ile". It matches the Rfam family "tRNA", at positions 11 to 71 of the family's 71-position model. Rfam says of the family: Transfer RNA (tRNA) molecules are approximately 80 nucleotides in length. Their secondary structure includes four short double-helical elements and three loops (D, anti-codon, and T loops). Lineage: Eukaryota; Viridiplantae; Streptophyta; Magnoliopsida; Ranunculales; Berberidaceae. The record is from RNAcentral.
CUCAGUGGUAGAGCGCGCCCCUGAUAAUUGCGUCGUUGUGCCGGGCGAGGUCUCUGGUUCAAGUCCAGGAUGGCCCA